UACGUAGGUGGCAAGCGUUAUCCGGAUUUACUGGGUGUAAAGGGCGUGUAGGCGGGAGUGCAAGUCAGAUGUGAAAACCACGGGCUCAACCUGUGGCCUGCAUUUGAAACUGUACUUCUUGAGUGCUGGAGAGGCAGACGGAAUUCCUAGUGUAGCGGUGAAAUGCGUAGAUAUUAGGAGGAACACCAGUGGCGAAGGCGGUCUGCUGGACAGCAACUGACGCUGAGGCGCGAAAGCGUGGGGAGCAAACAGG
This 253-nucleotide ribosomal RNA is filed under the name uncultured bacterium. Its description in RNAcentral is "partial 16S ribosomal RNA". It matches the Rfam family "Bacterial small subunit ribosomal RNA", at positions 524 to 776 of the family's 1533-position model. The record is from RNAcentral.